RNAcentral lists this transfer RNA (74 nucleotides) under Scytonema millei VB511283. Its description in RNAcentral is "tRNA-Phe". It matches the Rfam family "tRNA". Rfam says of the family: Transfer RNA (tRNA) molecules are approximately 80 nucleotides in length. Their secondary structure includes four short double-helical elements and three loops (D, anti-codon, and T loops). Lineage: Bacteria; Bacillati; Cyanobacteriota; Cyanophyceae; Nostocales; Scytonemataceae. The record is from RNAcentral.
CCCCUGGUAGCUCAGUUGGUAGUAGCGCCUGUGUGAAGAACAGGAGGGCGUUGGUUCGAUUCCAACCUGGGGGG